Molecule: long non-coding RNA, 539 nt
Filed under: Vombatus ursinus (common wombat)
Lineage: Eukaryota; Metazoa; Chordata; Mammalia; Diprotodontia; Vombatidae
Description: lncRNA (ENSVURG00010024772.1)
Source: RNAcentral
CGGAGAGGUCCCCGCAAUGUCGACCAGCCCCCAAGGGUCUGUGAGGUUUGGGGGGCACCCUGGUUCUUGAAAGGAAUGACGGUAGGGGGAGUGAUUCAUUUCUGGUUUGAUGAGGUUUCAGGGUGGCAUCAGAAGUCUGGGUCUUUGAUUGGGUUGGUCCGUAGCAGAGGGGCAAGUGUGAGAAGGAGAGGAUAGUGAAAGGGGGAUCUCUUAUUCUCUCUGGGUCUCAGUGUCUCUCCCAGGAUGAAGCCUGCACCGGCAGUGGAAGCAGGGAAGAGGUCAUUGGAGAAAGUCCCCAUAUACACACCCUGUCCCAGCCCAUCAUUGUCACUGUGCCCCAACCCCUCCAUAGACCCCCUCGCAUUCCCCCUGAUCAGUCACAAGCGAGGCUGGGCCAGGUCCUCCAUCCUGACCCACAAACCCCAGGCUGUGGGGGCCUGGACCCUGCCCCAGUUGUGGCCAUCGCUGUCUCUGCCUUUGUCUUGGGGGCUGCCCUCACUGCCGGCUUGGGUCUGAUCUAUGUGCAUACAGGUAUGAGG